RNAcentral lists this ribosomal RNA (2315 nucleotides) under Staphylococcus aureus. RNAcentral describes it as "bacterial LSU rRNA". It matches the Rfam family "Bacterial large subunit ribosomal RNA", at positions 3 to 2316 of the family's 2925-position model. The record is from RNAcentral. Lineage: Bacteria; Bacillati; Bacillota; Bacilli; Caryophanales; Staphylococcaceae.
UUAAGUUAUUAAGGGCGCACGGUGGAUGCCUUGGCACUAGAAGCCGAUGAAGGACGUUACUAACGACGAUAUGCUUUGGGGAGCUGUAAGUAAGCUUUGAUCCAGAGAUUUCCGAAUGGGGAAACCCAGCAUGAGUUAUGUCAUGUUAUCGAUAUGUGAAUACAUAGCAUAUCAGAAGGCACACCCGGAGAACUGAAACAUCUUAGUACCCGGAGGAAGAGAAAGAAAAUUCGAUUCCCUUAGUAGCGGCGAGCGAAACGGGAAGAGCCCAAACCAACAAGCUUGCUUGUUGGGGUUGUAGGACACUCUAUACGGAGUUACAAAGGACGACAUUAGACGAAUCAUCUGGAAAGAUGAAUCAAAGAAGGUAAUAAUCCUGUAGUCGAAAAUGUUGUCUCUCUUGAGUGGAUCCUGAGUACGACGGAGCACGUGAAAUUCCGUCGGAAUCUGGGAGGACCAUCUCCUAAGGCUAAAUACUCUCUAGUGACCGAUAGUGAACCAGUACCGUGAGGGAAAGGUGAAAAGCACCCCGGAAGGGGAGUGAAAUAGAACCUGAAACCGUGUGCUUACAAGUAGUCAGAGCCCGUUAAUGGGUGAUGGCGUGCCUUUUGUAGAAUGAACCGGCGAGUUACGAUUUGAUGCAAGGUUAAGCAGUAAAUGUGGAGCCGUAGCGAAAGCGAGUCUGAAUAGGGCGUUUAGUAUUUGGUCGUAGACCCGAAACCAGGUGAUCUACCCUUGGUCAGGUUGAAGUUCAGGUAACACUGAAUGGAGGACCGAACCGACUUACGUUGAAAAGUGAGCGGAUGAACUGAGGGUAGCGGAGAAAUUCCAAUCGAACCUGGAGAUAGCUGGUUCUCUCCGAAAUAGCUUUAGGGCUAGCCUCAAGUGAUGAUUAUUGGAGGUAGAGCACUGUUUGGACGAGGGGCCCCUCUCGGGUUACCGAAUUCAGACAAACUCCGAAUGCCAAUUAAUUUAACUUGGGAGUCAGAACAUGGGUGAUAAGGUCCGUGUUCGAAAGGGAAACAGCCCAGACCACCAGCUAAGGUCCCAAAAUAUAUGUUAAGUGGAAAAGGAUGUGGCGUUGCCCAGACAACUAGGAUGUUGGCUUAGAAGCAGCCAUCAUUUAAAGAGUGCGUAAUAGCUCACUAGUCGAGUGACACUGCGCCGAAAAUGUACCGGGGCUAAACAUAUUACCGAAGCUGUGGAUUGUCCUUUGGACAAUGGUAGGAGAGCGUUCUAAGGGCGUUGAAGCAUGAUCGUAAGGACAUGUGGAGCGCUUAGAAGUGAGAAUGCCGGUGUGAGUAGCGAAAGACGGGUGAGAAUCCCGUCCACCGAUUGACUAAGGUUUCCAGAGGAAGGCUCGUCCGCUCUGGGUUAGUCGGGUCCUAAGCUGAGGCCGACAGGCGUAGGCGAUGGAUAACAGGUUGAUAUUCCUGUACCACCUAUAAUCGUUUUAAUCGAUGGGGGGACGCAGUAGGAUAGGCGAAGCGUGCGAUUGGAUUGCACGUCUAAGCAGUAAGGCUGAGUAUUAGGCAAAUCCGGUACUCGUUAAGGCUGAGCUGUGAUGGGGAGAAGACAUUGUGUCUUCGAGUCGUUGAUUUCACACUGCCGAGAAAAGCCUCUAGAUAGAAAAUAGGUGCCCGUACCGCAAACCGACACAGGUAGUCAAGAUGAGAAUUCUAAGGUGAGCGAGCGAACUCUCGUUAAGGAACUCGGCAAAAUGACCCCGUAACUUCGGGAGAAGGGGUGCUCUUUAGGGUUAACGCCCAGAAGAGCCGCAGUGAAUAGGCCCAAGCGACUGUUUAUCAAAAACACAGGUCUCUGCUAAACCGUAAGGUGAUGUAUAGGGGCUGACGCCUGCCCGGUGCUGGAAGGUUAAGAGGAGUGGUUAGCUUCUGCGAAGCUACGAAUCGAAGCCCCAGUAAACGGCGGCCGUAACUAUAACGGUCCUAAGGUAGCGAAAUUCCUUGUCGGGUAAGUUCCGACCCGCACGAAAGGCGUAACGAUUUGGGCACUGUCUCAACGAGAGACUCGGUGAAAUCAUAGUACCUGUGAAGAUGCAGGUUACCCGCGACAGGACGGAAAGACCCCGUGGAGCUUUACUGUAGCCUGAUAUUGAAAUUCGGCACAGCUUGUACAGGAUAGGUAGGAGCCUUUGAAACGUGAGCGCUAGCUUACGUGGAGGCGCUGGUGGGAUACUACCCUAGCUGUGUUGGCUUUCUAACCCGCACCACUUAUCGUGGUGGGAGACAGUGUCAGGCGGGCAGUUUGACUGGGGCGGUCGCCUCCUAAAAGGUAACGGAGGCGCUCAAAGG